GCCUGAGCCUCUCAGCUCAAAGAUCCUCUCAGCUCAGAAUUCCUCACAGCUCGGAGCUCCUCACAGCCUGAGCCUCACAGCUCAAAGAUCCUCUCAGCUCAGAAUUCCUCACAGCUCGGAGCUCCUCACAGCCUGAGCCUCUCAGCUCAGAGCUCCUCACAGCUCAGAGCUCCUCUCAGCUCACAGCUCCUCUCAGCUCAGAGCUCCUCACAGCUCAGAAUUCCUCACAGCUCAGAGCUCCUCUCAGCCUGAGCCUCUCAGCUCAGAGCUCUUCUCAGUUCAGAACUCCUCACAGCUAGAACCUCUCAGCUCAGAGCUCCUCUCAGCCUGAGCCUCUCAGCUCAGAGCUCCUCUCAGCUCACAGCUCCUCUCAGCUCAGAGCUCCUCUCAGCUCACAGCUCCUCUCAGCUCAGAGCUUCUUUCAGCUCAGAGCUCCUCACAGCCUGAGCCUCUCAGCUCAGAGCUCCUCUCAGCUCAAAGAUCCUCACAGCUCAGAAUUCCUCACAGCUCGGAGCUCCUCACAGCUCAGAGCUCCUCUCAGCUCAGAGCUCCUCACAGCUCACAGUUCCUCUCAGCCUGAGCCUCUCAGCUCAGAGCUCCUCACAGCUCAGAGCUCCUCACAGCUCAGAGCUCCUUUCAGCCUUUGCUUCUCCUCCGGGCCGCUCUCUCUGCCGCAGGAGGAGCCGGCAUCCACCUCCCGCUCCGCACCCCGCAUCCAGCCGCGACAGGCCGGCAGAAAAUAUCAAAAAUCCGGCCGGGAGAGGAGCGGAGGGGAGGCAAGGGGGAGGAAGAGCAAGCCCGGCACCUUUGGCGCUUCUAGAAGGAGCAAGAGCAACCAAAGGCAUUCACGGGGAAAAAAUAGCACAGGGCGAAGGAGAGCCUGGGGAGAUGCAAAUCCGAGAGAGGAGCAGCCCACGGUGGGACGGGAGCCAAGGCUGCGGAGCAAGGGCCGGAGCCGCGGGGAUGCCCCGAACGCCGGGGAAAGCAAAGGCUGCGAGCGCAGGCUCCUUGCUGCACGGCCGGGGCUUGCACACGCGUGUGCACACCCGCGUGGGGCCGCGGCUGCGGGAGGGAUGCUGG
Molecule: long non-coding RNA, 1080 nt
Filed under: Lonchura striata (white-rumped munia)
Lineage: Eukaryota; Metazoa; Chordata; Aves; Passeriformes; Estrildidae
Description: domestica (Bengalese finch) lncRNA (ENSLSDG00000012941.1)
Source: RNAcentral